UACGAAGGGGGCUAGCGUUGUUCGGCAUCACUGGGCGUAAAGCGCACGCAGGCGGAUCGAUAAGUCGGGGGUGAAAGCCCGGGGCUCAACCUCGGAAUUGCCUUCGAUACUGCCGGUCUCGAGUCCGGGAGAGGUGAGUGGAAUUCCUAGUGUAGAGGUGAAAUUCGUAGAUAUUAGGAAGAACACCAGUGGCGAAGGCGGCUCACUGGCCCGGUACUGACGCUCAGGUGCGAGGUCGUGGGGAGCAAACAGG
This 253-nucleotide ribosomal RNA is filed under the name uncultured bacterium. RNAcentral describes it as "partial 16S ribosomal RNA". It matches the Rfam family "Bacterial small subunit ribosomal RNA", at positions 524 to 776 of the family's 1533-position model. The record is from RNAcentral.